This 420-nucleotide ribosomal RNA is filed under the name uncultured eukaryote. RNAcentral describes it as "bacterial SSU rRNA". It matches the Rfam family "Eukaryotic small subunit ribosomal RNA", at positions 592 to 1018 of the family's 1831-position model. The record is from RNAcentral.
CAAUAGCGUAUAUUAAAGUUGUUGCAGUUAAAAAGCUCGUAGUUGGACUUCUGAUGUGGGACUGCGCCCCGGUAUUUUGCCGUUGGGUGCGGGCUCGCGUCUUCCUCUCGUAGUUGGAUGGUGCACUUAACUGGGUGCCUUCUGAAUAUGGGACCUUUACUUUGAAAAAUUAGAGUGUUCAAAGCAGGCCUAUGCUCUGAAUAGGUUAGCAUGGAAUAAUAAAAUAGGACUUUGGUUCUAUUUUGUUGGUUUCUAGGACCGAAGUAAUGAUUAAUAGGGACAGUUGGGGGCAUUCAUAUUCCAAUGUCAGAGGUGAAAUUCUUGGAUUAUCGGAAGAUGAACUUCUGCGAAAGCAUCUGCCAAGGAUGUUUUCAUUGAUCAAGAACGAAAGUUAGGGGAUCGAAGACGAUCAGAUACCAU